GAUGAACGCUGGCGGCGCGCCUAACACAUGCAAGUCGAACGAUUAAAGCACCUUCGGGUGUGUAUAAAGUGGCGAACGGCUGAGUAACACGUGGGCAACCUGCCCCUUUCAUUGGGAUAGCCACGGGAAACCGUGGAUAAUACCGAAUACUUCGAGACUUCCGCAUGGAAGACUCGAGAAAGCUCCGGCGGAGAGGGAUGGGCCCGCGGCCUGUUAGCUUGUUGGUGCGGUAACGGCCUACCAAGGCAAUGAUGGGUAGCUGGGUUGAGAGACCGACCAGCCAGAUUGGGACUGAGACACGGCGCAGACUCCUACGGGAGGCAGCAGUGGGGAAUCUUGCACAAUGGGCGAAAGCCUGAUGCAGCGACGCCGCGUGCGGGAUGAAGGCUUUCGGGUUGUAAACCGCUUUCAGCAGGGACGAGGCGAAAGUGACGGUACCUGCAGAAGAAGCCCCGGCUAACUACGUG
Molecule: ribosomal RNA, 467 nt
Filed under: uncultured bacterium
Lineage: Bacteria
Description: partial 16S ribosomal RNA
Rfam family: Bacterial small subunit ribosomal RNA
Source: RNAcentral